This is an RNA transcript of Populus nigra (black poplar), 1155 nucleotides long. RefSeq lists it as uncharacterized. NCBI's taxonomy places the organism in Eukaryota, Viridiplantae, Streptophyta, Magnoliopsida, Malpighiales, Salicaceae. The transcript is spliced from 3 exons. The record is from RefSeq and is a predicted model, not a curated record.
AAAACUCCAAUUUAACAACAUGCCAAACAACCCCCUGAAACCGUCACUCCCACCGGGAAACCGAGUACAAUCUUCAACCAAGUUUAUUAAAAACCUCACACUCUUGGGAAAUAAAUCAUAAUCUCUGCAAUUCCCCAGUUACCCUAACUACCCAUGGGAGACAGAGACAGACUCACCGAUCGCGACCGUGAAAGAGACCGCGACCGAGACCGAGACCGAGAAAGACGCCGCGAUAAAGAAGACCGCGACCGGGACCGGACCCGAAUCACCCGCUCUCGCACGCGCUCACCAGACCGCUUGCGUUCCCGAAACAGGCGCUCUCGUUCUCGCUCUCCAGACCGGUCUCAUAGAUCUCACCGCCGCCACCGCCACCAGAGGACUCCAUCCUUGUCACCGCCGCGAAAGCGACAUCGACCCGAGAGCGAUGACGAUAGAGAGAGGGAAAAGCAAAGAGCGGCGGUUUUCGAUUUUGUAGACGGGAUAGCGAGAGAGCAAUUAGAGAAGAACGAAAGUGAUAAUAAUGAUAAUGGAAUGGGAGAGGGUGGGGGUUUGAUGGAUGAGGAUGAGAUGGAGAUGAUGAAGAAAUUAGGGAUUCCAACGGGGUUUGAUUCGACAAAAGGGAAGCCGGUGCCUGGUGCGGAUGUUAGUGGAGUUAAAGCCGUUACGAAACGGCAGCCUAGGCAGUAUAUGAAUCGUAGAGGAGGGUUUAAUCGGCCCUUGCCCCUGGAGCGGAAUCGCUGAUACUGUUUUCACAAGAUUGCAAAUAUCUUCUAGCAUGAGAUGACUCAGCGGUGCUGUGAUCAUGGUUGUAUUCCAUCAGUAGGGCCUUGAUGAAAGACCUUAUAUGGAUGGUUUUCUGGUGAGAGCAAUUGCAGGUCAGCAUUCUGAUGAAUGGAGUCUUAGUGAUGGAUAUCAUGUGGAUAUUUAUUUUCUAAUCAUUUUACCACUUUUUGUCAUUUACUUGGCUAGGUAAUGGCUAGUAUUGUGUGAGCAUGAAGAUGGGUUUUGAACCCAAGGCCCCAAGUACCACACUGGUGAGGGUUUGGCACCUAGACUUGGUGUUUUUUUGUUGUAGAUGCUCAUACAAAUUGGUGACUACAUUCUUUCAUGGUAUUUACGACCUCUGAAUAAAGAUUUUGACAGUCGUUGAAUCAA